CAAAUACCAAUCUGGAUGUUUCUUUGAGUCAUAUGUCAAAUUAAUAUAUCUUACGACUAGAGGAACAUUCAGUAUGGUUAUGGU
This is a non-coding RNA of Onchocerca flexuosa, 84 nucleotides long. Lineage: Eukaryota; Metazoa; Nematoda; Chromadorea; Rhabditida; Onchocercidae. The record is from Rfam.